RNAcentral lists this transfer RNA (73 nucleotides) under Micromonospora sp. WMMD812. Its description in RNAcentral is "tRNA-Val". It matches the Rfam family "tRNA". From Rfam's summary of the family: Transfer RNA (tRNA) molecules are approximately 80 nucleotides in length. Their secondary structure includes four short double-helical elements and three loops (D, anti-codon, and T loops). The record is from RNAcentral. Lineage: Bacteria; Bacillati; Actinomycetota; Actinomycetes; Micromonosporales; Micromonosporaceae.
GCCCGUGUAGCUCAGUGGAACGAGCGCCCGGCCCACACCCGGGAGGCCCCUGGUUCGAUCCCAGGUGCGGGCA